UAGCGUGGACAGAUAACUCUAAAAAUUAUGUCAGGGGUUAUUAGUUGCUUACACUGUCUAAAGAAGCUUUGAAGUUGGAUUUCAUGACUUAGUACACACACGCCAAUGUUAGACACCAUGAAGACAAGGAUGGCCAAGGCAUGAAAGGAACAACAAAUGAAUCAUCAAUACACCAAAGAUAAUAUUAAAUAAAAAAGUUUAAUGGCUGAAACUCACAAAGAAGACUGAAGGAUUCAGUAAACAAAGUAUCUGGUGAAAACACUCCAGCAAAUCAUUAUCAGUUUGCGUUACUGAAUAAAAACAUGAACAGCUAAAAGUUGAGC
RNAcentral lists this long non-coding RNA (323 nucleotides) under Brassica napus (rape). RNAcentral describes it as "long non-coding RNA (BNAP_LNC022386)". Lineage: Eukaryota; Viridiplantae; Streptophyta; Magnoliopsida; Brassicales; Brassicaceae. The record is from RNAcentral.